Cercocebus atys (sooty mangabey) is the source of this 79-nucleotide unclassified non-coding RNA. It matches the Rfam family "Y RNA". Rfam says of the family: Y RNAs are components of the Ro ribonucleoprotein particle (Ro RNP), in association with Ro60 and La proteins. The Y RNAs and Ro60 and La proteins are well conserved, but the function of the Ro RNP is not known. Lineage: Eukaryota; Metazoa; Chordata; Mammalia; Primates; Cercopithecidae. The record is from Ensembl.
AAUUGGUCCAAGUAUUGUGGGCUAUUGUUAAGCUGAUUUGACAUUGUCUCCCCCAACAACCAUGCUUGACUAGCUUAAA